UGGGGGAGUAGCUUCAAGAAGAUAUACGCAUAAGAUUGUAGUAUCGCAUGAUAUAGCAAUUAAAAGGAAGCAAUUCGCUAUAAGAUGGACCCGCGUCGCAUUAGCUAGUUGGUGAGGUAAUGGCUCACCAAGGCGACGAUGCGUAGCCGACCUGAGAGGGUGAUCGGCCACAUUGGGACUGAGACACGGCCCAGACUCCUACGGGAAGGCAGCAUG
Molecule: ribosomal RNA, 216 nt
Filed under: uncultured bacterium
Lineage: Bacteria
Description: partial 16S ribosomal RNA
Rfam family: Bacterial small subunit ribosomal RNA
Source: RNAcentral